UACGUAGGGGGCAAGCGUUGCCCGGAUUUAUUGGGCGUAAAGAGCGUGUAGGCGGCCAGACAGGUCCGUUGUGAAAACUCGAGGCUCAACCUCGAGACGCCGAUGGAAACCGUCUGGCUAGAGUCCGGAAGAGGAGAGUGGAAUUCCUGGUGUAGCGGUGAAAUGCGCAGAUAUCAGGAAGAACACCCGUGGCUAAGGCGGCUCUCUAGUACGGUACUGACGCUGAGACGCGAAAGCGUGGGGAGCGAACAGG
Molecule: ribosomal RNA, 253 nt
Filed under: uncultured bacterium
Lineage: Bacteria
Description: partial 16S ribosomal RNA
Rfam family: Bacterial small subunit ribosomal RNA
Source: RNAcentral